UCACCCCUCAAGCCCCGUGCUUGGUGUUGGACGGCCGGUCGAGCGAUUGACCCCUCCUAAAGACAAUGACGGCGGCCUGCGGUUCCCCCGGUACACUGAGCUUUUCACCGAGCACGUAUCGGACCAAGGGCACCCGGGACCCGGUCCUCUCCUUUCACCGGGAAAUUUUUCAAU
RNAcentral lists this unclassified non-coding RNA (174 nucleotides) under uncultured Cladophialophora. Its description in RNAcentral is "sequence contains ITS2". Lineage: Eukaryota; Fungi; Ascomycota; Eurotiomycetes; Chaetothyriales; Herpotrichiellaceae. The record is from RNAcentral.